This 621-nucleotide long non-coding RNA is filed under the name Olea europaea subsp. europaea. The record is from RNAcentral. Lineage: Eukaryota; Viridiplantae; Streptophyta; Magnoliopsida; Lamiales; Oleaceae.
AAAAAAAUCAGGUCAUCUAGCAAAACGGUCGUUUUGCAACGCCAAGAAAUUAAAGAGAAAACGACUGUGCUAUAUAACGGUAAACAUAGCUACCAUGUAUUUUGUCUCUUCAAAAAGUGCCCNNNNNNNNNNNNNNNNNNNNNNNNNNNNNNNCAAAAUCAGAUUAUUUGGCGACAAAUGAGUAGAAUCGAACUGUCAUUUAACUUUCAAGGUCAAGCUAAACCCUAUUUGCGAUCGACCAAAAACAUUCGUUAAGCACCAAAAAAAGUUUCAUGUUUUUUUUUUUUUUCUUCGUCAUGUUUAUGUCAGCCCCACUUUCGCCCUUAUUAAUAGGAGUAGAGAGAUCAGUGAUGGCUCCAAUAUCAACUAAAUUCAAUGGGGAUGAACCACGGCUCAAAAAAACUUCAAAUAUAUGAGCCUAAAUGGCCUCGCCCCCCUCCGAAAUUCAAGAGAUCUUAGAACAAAACUUCCCUUUCAUUUGCGCGAAGAGAGAACAAUUUAUUUUUUCAAAUAAAUGUUGUAGUAGGUGAGACGACAUGCACACAGGUUGCUCUCAAAAUUUUAAAGAGACUCUUCAGUCGACACGUACCACUGAAAUGUAUUAUUAGUAGAAAGAUGAAG